This 444-nucleotide ribosomal RNA is filed under the name uncultured Bacillota bacterium. Its description in RNAcentral is "uncultured Firmicutes bacterium partial 16S ribosomal RNA". Lineage: Bacteria; Bacillati; Bacillota. The record is from RNAcentral.
GACUACACGGGUAUCUAAGCCUGUUUGCUCCCCACGCUUUCGUGCCUCAGCGUCAGUUACAGUCCAGAAAAUCGCUUUCGCCUCUGGUGUUCCUCCUAAUAUCUACGCAUUCCACCGCUACACUAGGAAUUCCAUUUUCCUCUCCGACACUCAAGUCUCGCAGUUUUGGAAGCAGCACCUGAGUUAAGCUCUAGGUAUUACACUUCCAACUUGCGAAACCGCCUACACACCCUUUACGCCCAGUCAUUCCGGACAACGCUUGCCCCCUAUGUAUUACCGCGGCUGCUGGCACAUAGUUAGCCGGGGCUUGUUCCUUGGGUACCGUCAUUUAUUCGUCCCCAAUCAAAGAGCUUUACAAUCCGAAGACCUUCAUUCACUCACGCGGCAUUGCUGGGUCAGAGUUUCCUCCAUUGCCCAAUAUUCCCCACUGCAGCCCCCCGUAGG